CGGUGGAGCAUGUGGUUUAAUUCGAAGCAACGCGAAGAACCUUUCCAGGUCUUGACGUCCCGCUGACCGGCCUAGAGAUAGUUUCCGAGCGUACAGGUGUGACGAGCGCAACCCUUGAUCUUAGUUGCCAGCGGGAUGUCAAAUAUCAUGCCCCUUAUGACCUGGCUACAUACAUGGACGGUACAAGGGUCGCAACCCCGCGAGGGUGAGCAUCCCAUAAAACCGUUCUCAGUUCGGAUUGUAGUGCAACUCGCCUACAUGAAGCCGGAAUCGCUAGUAAUCGGGAUCAGCAUGCCACGGUGAAUACGUUCCCGGGCCUUGUACACACCGCCGUCACACCACGAGAGUUUGUAACACCCGAAGUCGGUGGGGUAACCCUUACGGGAGCCAGCCGCCGAAGUGGGACAGAUGAUUGGGGUGAAGUCGUACAAGGU
RNAcentral lists this ribosomal RNA (434 nucleotides) under uncultured Bacillota bacterium. RNAcentral describes it as "bacterial SSU rRNA". It matches the Rfam family "Bacterial small subunit ribosomal RNA", at positions 930 to 1497 of the family's 1533-position model. Lineage: Bacteria; Bacillati; Bacillota. The record is from RNAcentral.